Molecule: ribosomal RNA, 220 nt
Filed under: uncultured fungus
Lineage: Eukaryota; Fungi
Description: partial small subunit ribosomal RNA
Rfam family: Eukaryotic small subunit ribosomal RNA (bases 103-220)
Source: RNAcentral
GGUAUUUGUUACUAGCUGGUCUUUAUUUGGCCAUGUUAGGUUUUAACAGAUCCUCAUUUACUGGAUAAAUUAAUAAUCAUCUUUAUUGAUUGUUAUUAAUUUCCAGAAUGUUUACUUUGAGAAAAUUAGAGUGCUAAAAGCAGGCUCAUGCCUAUAUAUAUUGCAUGGAAUAAUGAAAUAAGAUCUCGAUUUUAUUUCGUUGGUUUUAGAAAUUGAGAUA